This is a long non-coding RNA of Lagopus muta (rock ptarmigan), 598 nucleotides long. RefSeq lists it as uncharacterized. The record is from RefSeq and is a predicted model, not a curated record. NCBI's taxonomy places the organism in Eukaryota, Metazoa, Chordata, Aves, Galliformes, Phasianidae. The transcript is spliced from 4 exons.
UCCAGGGCAUCAUCAUUUUGUCUAAAGGAACAUGUAGUUGUUUGGUCUUCAGUUUUUUUUUUCUUUUUUUUUUUUCUCCUGAAUGCCCACUGAGUUAUUAUGCUGAAACAUGACCUAAGCAAGUUUCAGAAGUGAGAAUUUGAUCCAAGGCUUGGAAGAGUCAAGAGAGGGACUUAUGCAGCAUUUUCUCUUAUGGAGAGGAUCUGGCAGAAAGCCUGGGAAUGUGGAGCCCUGAGCUGUCCCCUGGUUAAGAUCUUAAAGUCUUCAGAUCUACAACUCAAAACUGAGUAGUGCUGUUAUUCAAAUGGGGACACUGAGAAUGCAUCUGAGAUCUGACCAGGGGAACUAUGGUAAAAGUGAAGACUGAAUUCAGCAAAAUGAAUUGUGGAAUUGAAAGAUUUUUCAUUCUGCUGCAGCAAAGGAAGAAUUAAAAUUAAAGCAAAAAAAAUCAACAACUUGCCUCACCAUAAAUAUGAACAACCACUUUCAUGAUCCAAGGCUCUAUAGUAUGUCCCAUACUAUAAGCCAGGACUGUGUGUAAGGACAGCCAUCACAAGCCAUGGUAGUUAAGACAAGAAAAAGACUUAAAAUAAAAACA